GACAGAGGAGGCGAGCGUUAUCCGGAGUUAUUGGGCGUAAAGAGUACGUAGGCGGCUGGUCAAGUCUGGGGUUAAAGACCACAGCUUAACUGUGGGGGGGCCUUGGAAACUGACCGGCUGGAGUGGGGCAGGGGUUGCGGGAAUUCCCGGUGUAGCGGUGAAAUGCGUAGAUAUCGGGAAGAACACCUGAGGCGAAAGCGCGCAACUGGGCCCUAACUGACGCUGAGGUACGAAAGCGAGGGGAGCGAAAGGG
RNAcentral lists this ribosomal RNA (253 nucleotides) under uncultured bacterium. RNAcentral's name for it is "partial 16S ribosomal RNA". It matches the Rfam family "Bacterial small subunit ribosomal RNA", at positions 524 to 776 of the family's 1533-position model. The record is from RNAcentral.